Molecule: ribosomal RNA, 497 nt
Filed under: uncultured bacterium
Lineage: Bacteria
Description: partial 16S ribosomal RNA
Rfam family: Bacterial small subunit ribosomal RNA
Source: RNAcentral
GACGAACGCUGGCGGCGUGCCUAAUACAUGCAAGUAGAACGCUGAAGAGAGGAGCUUGCUCUUCUUGGAUGAGUUGCGAACGGGUGAGUAACGCGUAGGUAACCUGCCUUGUAGCGGGGGAUAACUAUUGGAAACGAUAGCUAAUACCGCAUAACAAUGGAUGACACAUGUCAUUUAUUUUAAAGGGGCAAUUGCUCCACUACAAGAUGGACCUGCGUUGUAUUUGCUCGUAGGUGAGGUAAUGGCUCACCUAGGCGACGAUAACUAGCCGACCUGAGAGGGUGAUCGGCCACACUGGGACUGAGACACGGCCCAGACUCCUACGGGAGGCAGCAGUAGGGAAUCUUCGGCAAUGGGGGCAACCCUGACCGAGCAACGCCGCGUGAGUGAAGAAGGUUUUCGGAUCGUAAAGCUCUGUUGUAAGUCAAGAACGGGUGUGAGAGUGGAAAGUUCACACUGUGACGGUAGCUUACCAGAAAGGGACGGCUAACUACGUG